Non-coding RNA from Felis catus (domestic cat), 85 nucleotides. Lineage: Eukaryota; Metazoa; Chordata; Mammalia; Carnivora; Felidae. The record is from Rfam.
GCCUGGGUGGCUCAGUCGGUUGAGCGUCCGACUUCGGCUCAGGUCAUGAUCUCACAGCUCGCGAGUUCCAGCCCCGCGUCAGGCU